GGGCUAUGUUGGCCGGGCGACGGUUGUCCCGGUUUAAGCGUGUAGGCUGGUUUUCCAGGCAAAUCCGGAAAAUCAAGGCUGAGGCGUGAUGACGAGGCACUACGGUGCUGAAGCAACAAAUGCCCUGCUUCCAGGAAAAGCCUCUAAGCAUCAGGUAACAUCAAAUCGUACCCCAAACCGACACAGGUGGUCAGGUAGAGAAUACCAAGGCGCUUGAGAGAACUCGGGUGAAGGAACUAGGCAAAAUGGUGCCGUAACUUCGGGAGAAGGCACGCUGAUAUGUAGGUGAGGUCCCUCGCGGAUGGAGCUGAAAUCAGUCGAAGAUACCAGCUGGCUGCAACUGUUUUAUUAAAAACACAGCACUGUGCAAACACGAAAGUGGACGUAUACGGUGUGACGCCUGCCCGGUGCCGGAAGGUUAAUUGAUGGGGUUAGCGCAAGCGAAGCUCUUGAUCGAAGCCCCGGUAAACGGCGGCCGUAACAAUAACGGUCCUAAGGUAGCGAAAUUCCUUGUCGGGUAAGUUCCGACCUGCACGAAUGGCGUAAUGAUGGCCAGGCUGUCUCCACCCGAGACUCAGUGAAAUUGAACUCGCUGUGAAGAUGCAGUGUACCCGCGGCAAGACGGAAAGACCCCGUGAACCUUUACUAUAGCUUGACACUGAACAUUGAGCCUUGAUGUGUAGGAUAGGUGGGAGGCUUUGAAGUGUGGACGCCAGUCUGCAUGGAGCCGACCUUGAAAUACCACCCUUUAAUGUUUGAUGUUCUAACGUUGACCCGUAAUCCGGGUUGCGGACAGUGUCUGGUGGGUAGUUUGACUGGGGCGGUCUCCUCCUAAAGAGUAACGGAGGAGCACGAAGGUUGGCUAAUCCUGGUCGGACAUCAGGAGGUUAGUGCAAUGGCAUAAGCCAGCUUGACUGCGAGCGUGACGGCGCGAGCAGGUGCGAAAGCAGGUCAUAGUGAUCCGGUGGUUCUGAAUGGAAGGGCCAUCGCUCAACGGAUAAAAGGUACUCCGGGGAUAACAGGCUGAUACCGCCCAAGAGUUCAUAUCGACGGCGGUGUUUGGCACCUCGAUGUCGGCUCAUCACAUCCUGGGGCUGAAGUAGGUCCCAAGGGUAUGGCUGUUCGCCAUUUAAAGUGGUACGCGAGCUGGGUUUAGAACGUCGUGAGACAGUUCGGUCCCUAUCUGCCGUGGGCGCUGGAGAACUGAGGGGGGCUGCUCCUAGUACGAGAGGACCGGAGUGGACGCAUCACUGGUGUUCGGGUUGUCAUGCCAAUGGCACUGCCCGGUAGCUAAAUGCGGAAGAGAUAAGUGCUGAAAGCAUCUAAGCACGAAACUUGCCCCGAGAUGAGUUCUCCCUGACCCUUUAAGGGUCCUGAAGGAACGUUGAAGACGACGACGUUGAUAGGCCGGGUGUGUAAGCGCAGCGAUGCGUUGAGCUAACCGGUACUAAUGAACC
Molecule: ribosomal RNA, 1457 nt
Filed under: metagenome
Description: bacterial LSU rRNA
Rfam family: Bacterial large subunit ribosomal RNA
Source: RNAcentral